Molecule: long non-coding RNA, 766 nt
Organism: Bombina bombina (fire-bellied toad)
Lineage: Eukaryota; Metazoa; Chordata; Amphibia; Anura; Bombinatoridae
Exons: 2
Source: RefSeq, a predicted model, not a curated record
AGCUGAUCAGCAUUCACAAAAGUAAACAGCACCUUUGUAUAGUGUUAAAUUCUGACAUAUACUGCACCAAAGGAGGUCUGUGUGUGUUUAUAAAGCAGCAGGCUAUGGGGAGGUGUGACAGACCUGUAUAUAAGAAAGAAUCUGAAAAGAUACCAAAAAGAUGACAACCUAUCUUCAAGUUGGGAAAAUCCAUGUCCUAAUGUUGUUAUGGCUGAUUAUGGAGGGUUUUGCUGGACGAAAUUCUUUUGCAUUUUCAGAGGACUGCAUGGGUAUUUUGGGUUUGACUCAGACAACAUCAAGAUGGAAAUCGUGAUUGUGGUAUCAAAGUCAAUGUAACUGAACUAGUUUUUGGAAAAUGAUCAACAACAUCAAAAUGAACAUUAUGAUCCUGAACGUAUUAAUAUAGCAUUGGACAAAGGCCGGUCUAAUGUUACAAGUUGUACAAAAUGGGUUAAAUGUGGCAAAGAAACAUUUAUUUUUAAGUUUAUUUUUGCAAAAUAUGACAGUCAAGGACUGUCACAAUGACUAAGGCACAAUGAAGUUAGAUGCAUUUAAAUAUGCACCUUUACGCUUAGUUAAAUGACAAUAUGUAGAGGCUAUUGUUUACACCAUGUAUCUCUCUUUGCCACUAAGGAAUCCUGAAUGGCCAAUUAUACUUCAGGAUUUAAACAGUUAGAGUAUUAUGUAAAUAGUUAUAAUAAGUCAGAGGCAGAAAUUGCAAAAGCACUGUUAACAAACAAAGUAUAGACUUAGUUAAAAAAGAAAA